UGGGGAAUUUUGGACAAUGGGCGAAAGCCUGAUCCAGCAAUGCCGCGUGUGUGAAGAAGGCCUUCGGGUUGUAAAGCACUUUUGUUCGGAAAGAAAUGUCUCUGGUUAAUACCUGGGGUCGAUGACGGUACCGGAAGAAUAAGGACCGGCUAACUACGUGCCAGCAGCCGCGGUAAUACGUAGGGUCCAGGCGUUACUCGGAAUUACUGGGCGUAGAGCGUGCGCAGGCGGUUGUGCAAGACCGAUGUGAAAUCCCCGGGCUUAACUUGGGAAUUGCAUUGGUGACUGCACGGCUAGAGUGUGGCAGAGGGGGGUAGAAGUCCACGUGUGGGAGUGAAAUGCGUAGAGAUGUGGAGGAAUACCGAUGGCGGAGGCAGCCCCCUGGGAUAACACUGACGCUCAUGCACGAAGGCGUGGGGAGCAAACAGG
This 429-nucleotide ribosomal RNA is filed under the name Bacillota bacterium. RNAcentral's name for it is "Firmicutes bacterium partial 16S ribosomal RNA". It matches the Rfam family "Bacterial small subunit ribosomal RNA", at positions 355 to 776 of the family's 1533-position model. The record is from RNAcentral. Lineage: Bacteria; Bacillati; Bacillota.